RNAcentral lists this ribosomal RNA (492 nucleotides) under uncultured bacterium. Its description in RNAcentral is "partial 16S ribosomal RNA". It matches the Rfam family "Bacterial small subunit ribosomal RNA", at positions 29 to 507 of the family's 1533-position model. The record is from RNAcentral.
AGUGAACGCUGGCGGUAGGCCUAACACAUGCAAGUCGAACGGCAGCACAGUAAGAGCUUGCUCUUACGGGUGGCGAGUGGCGGACGGGUGAGGAAUACAUCUGAAUCUACUUUUUCGUGGGGGAUAACGUAGGGAAACUUACGCUAAUACCGCAUACGACCUACGGGUGAAAGCAGUGGAUCUUCGGAUCUUGCGCGUUUGAAUGAGCCGAUGUCGGAUUAGCUGGUUGGCGGGGUAAAGGCCCACCAAGGCGACGAUCCGUAGCUGGUCUGAGAGGAUGAUCAGCCACACUGGAACUGAGACACGGUCCAGACUCCUACGGGAGGCAGCAGUGGGGAAUAUUGGACAAUGGGCGCAAGACUGAUCCAGCCAUACCGCGUGGGUGAAGAAGGCCUUCGGGUUGUAAAGCCCUUUUGUUGGGAAAGAAAAGCAGAAGGUUAAUACCCCGCUGUUCUGACGGUACCCAAAGAAUAAGCACCGGCUAACUUCGUG